This 465-nucleotide ribosomal RNA is filed under the name Vreelandella stevensii. RNAcentral's name for it is "partial 16S ribosomal RNA". It matches the Rfam family "Bacterial small subunit ribosomal RNA", at positions 338 to 795 of the family's 1533-position model. The record is from RNAcentral. Lineage: Bacteria; Pseudomonadati; Pseudomonadota; Gammaproteobacteria; Oceanospirillales; Halomonadaceae.
CCUACGGGAGGCAGCAGUGGGGAAUAUUGGACAAUGGGGGGAACCCUGAUCCAGCCAUGCCGCGUGUGUGAAGAAGGCCCUCGGGUUGUAAAGCACUUUCAGUGAGGAAGAACGCCUGGUGGUUAAUACCCAUCAGGAAAGACAUCACUCACAGAAGAAGCACCGGCUAACUCCGUGCCAGCAGCCGCGGUAAUACGGAGGGUGCGAGCGUUAAUCGGAAUUACUGGGCGUAAAGCGCGCGUAGGUGGCUUGAUAAGCCGGUUGUGAAAGCCCCGGGCUCAACAUGGGAACGGCAUCCGGAACUGUCAAGCUAGAGUGCAGGAGAGGAAGGUAGAAUUCCCGGUGUAGCGGUGAAAUGCGUAGAGAUCGGGAGGAAUACCAGUGGCGAAGGCGGCCUUCUGGACUGACACUGACACUGAGGUGCGAAAGCGUGGGUAGCAAACAGGAUUAGAUACCCGGGUAGUC